GCCGCCGGGCGGGAAUCUUUCUCCCCGCCUGGAUCAGCGUGCAGGGUGCAAGUUUGCGCCCGGACCAAUGCCCUGAGCUAGAGGUGACCGGGCAGUGCUCCCAGGUGUACACAAAGUGAAAUUACAAACCUACUUUUUCUCCCCAUAAACACUGCCUCGUUUGCCAAGAUUGUUUUUCUAUGGAGCAUUCACCCAAAGAGCCAUACAUAAAGAGUGCAGGAAUCCUGCCCACACACUAAGACCAAAGAAUCCAGCUGAGGCCUGGAUCCCACAGCACUGGGAAGGCCCAAAGGCCAGUGAAAGCCAGAAAGUCUGUGCCAGCAGGAUAAAGCAUCUGUGCUCGCAGGCUGAGGAAUCCGCACUGGAGCCAGGAAGCCUUGCUCAAAGACCUGCAUGUUGUCUGAAGUUAUCCCUUUUUCAGGCAUCUUCUAAUUUCAAGACUAUCAUCGGCAGAAGGUUGGCCUGGCUAGGCUAGGGGUGCUCCAGGGAGGAUUGACAACUGUGCCCACAGGUCCCUUUGAUAUGGGGGAAAUGAAACUCCGGACCUGAAAUGUACCUGGGAUGAGUUCCUGUUCUCUAAAACAGAACAAUGAAUUUUAAGAACAAAU
Long non-coding RNA from Octodon degus (degu), 608 nucleotides. RefSeq lists it as uncharacterized. NCBI's taxonomy places the organism in Eukaryota, Metazoa, Chordata, Mammalia, Rodentia, Octodontidae. The record is from RefSeq and is a predicted model, not a curated record. The transcript has 3 exons.